CGCGCUUCCCUCCACCAAGAAGGACCCAGGAGACAUGGAGGCCCAGAAGAUGAGGAGAGAAGGGAGGAUGAAUGGUGAACAACCAUGUGGAAAACCCCUCAGAGCGCGAGUUGGAGGCUCAGGGCCUGGUCAGGCCUUCGGGGUAUGUGGGGACUGAAGGAGAGGUUGGCCGUGGCUCAGUGACCUGCAGCUCUGUCACUCUGCAGCUCUCACUUCUUCCUGCUCAUGAUCUGCUUGGAAAUCCAGCUCAUUCCAUCCUGAGGGGAAGAGAGGGCUGAGCACGGCCUGGUGUUACCCACCUGCAGCGCUGGCAGCCACUCACUCCGUACCUGCACACCUUCUCCAGACAGAGCCGAGCAGGCCUGGAUCUGCCACUCUCGGUCCCGGCACUGGUGAUGAGUCCCAAGAAGCCGUGAGGUCUCCACAACCCAAGGGGAGAUGGGAACCCUUGAAGCUACAUCUGCCCUGAGGAGAACCUGGAGCCGCACUCAGCACUGCCUUGGGGACAAAACAUUCCUGGCACCCUGAGCACCUCGGGCAAAGGGCAGCUGCUGCCCGCCCACACUGUCUGGCACCCACGGCUCUGUUCCUGGCAGUCUGGUGUCAUCAUGGCCUCAGCUGACACUGUCUCACCUUCCAUUCUUUGCUUUGCUUUCCAGCUUUUAUAUCUCCCAUUUCACUACCUGAGUAAACGGCUUUGUUGCAUGGCCAUGUCAGAG
This 719-nucleotide long non-coding RNA is filed under the name Gallus gallus (chicken). RNAcentral describes it as "long non-coding RNA NONGGAT011585". Lineage: Eukaryota; Metazoa; Chordata; Aves; Galliformes; Phasianidae. The record is from RNAcentral.